This 77-nucleotide transfer RNA is filed under the name Camelus bactrianus (Bactrian camel). It matches the Rfam family "tRNA". From Rfam's summary of the family: Transfer RNA (tRNA) molecules are approximately 80 nucleotides in length. Their secondary structure includes four short double-helical elements and three loops (D, anti-codon, and T loops). Lineage: Eukaryota; Metazoa; Chordata; Mammalia; Artiodactyla; Camelidae. RNAcentral also lists the same sequence under 2 other names. The record is from Rfam by way of RNAcentral.
GAGGGUAUAGCUCAGUGGUAGAGUGCUCAACUCACAUAGCAUGCAGGAGGUCCUGGGUUCAAUCCCCAGUACCUCCA